UUCCCUGAUCCUCCUGGGUAGCUUCCUGGAAACCUAAGUGUUAGGGUUUGGGGGGAGUAUGGUUGCAAAGCUGAAACUUAAAGGAAUUGAUGGAAGAUCACCACUAGGAGUGGACCUUCAGCUUAAUUUGACUCAACAUGUGAGACCUCACCUGGACCAGACAAGGACAGGAUUGACAGAUUGAUAGCUCUUUCUGUACAUGGAAGGAAAUCGUGAUCUAUCUGGCCCUAAGAGAUGAUGGAAAAAGAGAUAAAAUGGAAAUACAAACUGUGAGCAGUUUCUGCUCUGAACUGUAAACAUCAAUGUGGUAUUUUUGGCAGAUGGAGUGGUUCUAUUUUGUUGGUUUUUGGAUCUGAGGUCAUAAUUAAGAGGGGUGCUUGGGGCAUUCGUAUUGUGCCACUAAAUGUGAAAUUCUUGGAUCGGUGCAAGACAGACCAGAGGGAAACUAUUUGCCAAGAAUAUUUUCAUUAAUCAAGAAAACAGUCAGAGGUUCGAAGAUGAUCAGAUACCAUCAAAGUUCUGACCACAAACAAUGCCAACUGGAGAUGCAGUGGUUUUAUUCCCUGAUCCUCCUGGGUAGCUUCCUGGAAACCUAAGUGUUAGGGUUUGGGGGGAGUAUGGUUGCAAAGCUGAAACUUAAAGGAAUUGAUGGAAGAUCACCACUAGGAGUGGACCUUCAGCUUAAUUUGACUCAACAUGUGAGACCUCACCUGGACCAGACAAGGACAGGAUUGACAGAUUGAUAGCUCUUUCUUGAAUCUGUGGGUGGUGGUGCAUGGCCAUUCUUAUUUGGUGGAGUGAUUUGUCUGGUUAAUUCCAAUAAGGAAGGAGACUCUGGCAUGCUAACUAGUUAAGUGACACCGGAGUGGUCAGCAUCCUCCAACUUCUUAGAAGGACAAGUGGCAUUCAGCCACCUGAGAUUGAGCAAUAACAGGUCUGUGAUGCCCUUAGAUGUCAGAGGCUGCAUGCACACUACACUGACUGGCUCAGCGUGUGCCUACUCUAUGCCAGCAGGAGUGAGCAACCAAUUGAACCCCAUUCGUGAUGGGGAUCAGGGAUUGCAAUUAUUCCCCAUGAAUUAGGAAUUCCCAGUAAGUGCGGGUCAUAAGCUUGCAUUGAUUAAGUCCCUGCCCUUUAUACACUCUACCAAUUGGAUGAUUUAGUGAGGCCCUCAGAUUGGCUCUGAGGGGUCUGGCAUGGCCCUGGCUAAGAAGUCGAACUUGGCUAUCUAAAGGAAGUAAAAGUCGCAACAAGGUUUCAGCAGGUGAACCUGCAGAAGGAUCAUUA
Molecule: ribosomal RNA, 1287 nt
Filed under: Cricetulus griseus (Chinese hamster)
Lineage: Eukaryota; Metazoa; Chordata; Mammalia; Rodentia; Cricetidae
Description: Eukaryotic small subunit ribosomal RNA
Rfam family: Eukaryotic small subunit ribosomal RNA
Source: Rfam by way of RNAcentral